AGCCGAAACAGCCCUGCGGGGCUGUCGUGCGGGGGCUGACCGCCCCGUGCCUGAUGAUGGCAGGUCAAG
Molecule: non-coding RNA, 69 nt
Organism: Subdoligranulum sp. 4_3_54A2FAA
Lineage: Bacteria; Bacillati; Bacillota; Clostridia; Eubacteriales; Oscillospiraceae
Source: Rfam